Camelus dromedarius (Arabian camel) is the source of this 414-nucleotide long non-coding RNA. RefSeq lists it as uncharacterized. The record is from RefSeq and is a predicted model, not a curated record. NCBI's taxonomy places the organism in Eukaryota, Metazoa, Chordata, Mammalia, Artiodactyla, Camelidae. The transcript is spliced from 3 exons.
CCCUCCCUAGACUUGCUCCAAAUUUGUACUCUCCCUUUUCAGAAUCACUACUUUGGAGAUUGCUUUAAAAUUCUUAUCUUUUCCAUUGAGUCAGCAAGCUUUUGUCUCUUAAUUUCUUUAGACAAUGACAAAAACUCAUCAUAUUAACACAAAGAGGAGACUAGGACUUACCAGUGGUGACUUUUAUGACAUCCUUGAAGGAGUCUCUUUCAGGAAGAGAAGCAGCUGUGAAUCCUAUUGAGUGAGAAUGGUCCAACAAAUAUCUAUUAGUAUAAUCAGCAAGAAAUUGUUAGAAAUGCACUGCUGCUAUCAGAGAGAAUGAAGCCAACUGACCAACAAAGAGGUAUGACUAUGAAUACUACUUAGCAUAUAUUAUAAUUUGACCCUUCAACUGAAUCCCAAGAAAAAAGAAAG